RNAcentral lists this ribosomal RNA (254 nucleotides) under uncultured bacterium. RNAcentral describes it as "partial 16S ribosomal RNA". It matches the Rfam family "Bacterial small subunit ribosomal RNA", at positions 524 to 776 of the family's 1533-position model. The record is from RNAcentral.
UACGUAGGGCGCGAGCGUUUGUCCGGAAUUAUUGGGCGUAAAGAGCUCGUAGGCGGCCUGUUGCGUCCGCUGUGAAAUCCCGGGGCUCAACCCUGGGCGUGCAGUGGAUACGGGCAGGCUGGAGGCAGGCAGGGGAGAACGGAAUUCCCGGUGUAGCGGUGAAAUGCGCAGAUAUCGGGAGGAACACCGGUGGCGAAGGCAGUGGUCUGGGCCGAUACUGACGCUGAGGAGCGAAAGCGUGGGGAGCGAACAGG